GACAGACCAUGGAGUACGGCGCGGAGCAGGCGGCCCGGCUGCGGUCGGGCGCCGUACGGCCGUACUGACGGCCGGGUUCCGGCCCUGGGGUCUGUCG
This 97-nucleotide transfer RNA is filed under the name Streptomyces calvus. RNAcentral describes it as "tRNA-Ser". Lineage: Bacteria; Bacillati; Actinomycetota; Actinomycetes; Kitasatosporales; Streptomycetaceae. The record is from RNAcentral.